This 459-nucleotide ribosomal RNA is filed under the name uncultured bacterium. RNAcentral's name for it is "SSU rRNA". It matches the Rfam family "Bacterial small subunit ribosomal RNA", at positions 26 to 518 of the family's 1533-position model. The record is from RNAcentral.
AGAAUCAACGCUGGCGGCGUGCCUAACACAUGCAAGUCGAACGAGAAAGUGGAGCAAUCCAUGAGUAAAGUGGCGCACGGGUGAGUAACACGUGACUAACCUACCCUUGAGUGGGGGAUAACCUAGGGAAACCUGGGCUAAUACCGCAUAAUACCUUCGGGUCAAAGGAGCAAUUCGCUUAAGGAGGGGGUCGCGGCCGAUUAGUUAGUUGGCGGGGUAAUGGCCCACCAAGACUGUGAUCGGUAUCCGGCCUGAGAGGGCGCACGGACACACUGGAACUGAAACACGGUCCAGACUCCUACGGGAGGCAGCAGUGGGGAAUUUUGCGCAAUGGGGGAAACCCUGACGCAGCAACGCCGCGUGGAGGAUGAAGUCCCUUGGGACGUAAACUCCUUUCGAUCGGGACGAUUAUGACGGUACCGGAAGAAGAGCCCCGGCUAACUUCGUGCCAGCAGCCGC